RNAcentral lists this ribosomal RNA (870 nucleotides) under Triticum aestivum (bread wheat). Its description in RNAcentral is "partial small subunit ribosomal RNA". Lineage: Eukaryota; Viridiplantae; Streptophyta; Magnoliopsida; Poales; Poaceae. The record is from RNAcentral.
AUGACGAACGGGUACCUCUUCCGGGAGUACCUCGGCGCGCAGUCCACGGGCGUCCGGUUCUCCGACGUGCCUGUCAACCCCGGCGUCAGCUUCCACUACAUCCUCGCCUUCGCCAUCGACUACACGCCGGUGGCGCAGCAGCCCACGCCGGCGCCCACCAACGGCGUGUUCAGCGCGUUCUGGGACACGGCCAACCUCUCCCGCGCCGACGUGGCCGCCAUCAAGACCGCGCACCCGAACGUGAGCGUCAUGGCCGGCCUCGGCGGCGACAGCGUGCUGGACAUCGUCAAGGUCUCCUUCGCGCCGGCCUCCGUCGACUCGUGGGUGGCCAACGCCGUGGCCUCGCUCUCGCGCCUCAUCAACGAGUACGGCCUCGACGGGGUGGACGUCGACUACGAGCGCUUCGCCGCCGGCGUCUCCGUCGACACCUUCGUGGAGUGCGUCGGCCGGCUGCUCACCCGGCUCAAGGCCGCCUUCCCCAACAUCACCACCUCCAUCGCGCCCUUCGAGGACGACACCGUGCAGAGGUACUACCGGGCGCUGUGGAGCAGGUACUCCGGCGUCAUCGACUACGUCAACUUCCAGUUCUACGGCUACGGCGCCAACACCGACGUCCCGACCUACGUCAUGUUCUACGACCGCCAGACGGGCUUCUACCCCGGCGCCAGGGUGCUCGCCAGCCUGCAGACCGGCAAGACCACGGAGGAGCUCGGCCUGCUCUCGCCGGACCAGGGCAUCGCCGCCGCCAAGGAGCUGCUAAGGCAGAACAAGCUGCCGGGCUUCUUCAUCUGGUCGGCCGACAGCUCCAAGCAGAGCACCUACAAGUUUACCUAUGAGACCAGGGCGCAGGAGAUCGUCGCCAACCAUUGA